UGAAUGGGGCAACCCAAGGGC
Molecule: ribosomal RNA, 21 nt
Filed under: rhizosphere bacterium GWR11
Lineage: Bacteria
Description: partial 23S ribosomal RNA
Source: RNAcentral